The sequence is a transfer RNA, 96 nucleotides long. It matches the Rfam family "tRNA". Rfam says of the family: Transfer RNA (tRNA) molecules are approximately 80 nucleotides in length. The record is from Rfam.
GGUCGCUUAGCUCAGUUGGUUAGAGCGUGGUGCUAAUAGGAUCCUUUGAUAUCCCGUGAUACGCCAAGGUCGCGAGUUCAACCCUCGUAGUGACCA